This 344-nucleotide RNase P RNA is filed under the name Pseudomonas sp. RNAcentral's name for it is "partial RNase P RNA component class A". It matches the Rfam family "Bacterial RNase P class A". Rfam says of the family: Ribonuclease P (RNase P) is a ubiquitous endoribonuclease, found in archaea, bacteria and eukarya as well as chloroplasts and mitochondria. Lineage: Bacteria; Pseudomonadati; Pseudomonadota; Gammaproteobacteria; Pseudomonadales; Pseudomonadaceae. The record is from RNAcentral.
AGAGUCGAUCGGACAGUCGCUGUCUCUUUUUGUUCCGGCAAGAAGGGAGGGAGGAAAGUCCGGGCUCCAUAGGGCAAAGUGCCAGGUAACGCCUGGGAGGCGUGAGCCUACGGAAAGUGCCACAGAAAAUAACCGCCUAAGCGCUUCGGCGCCGGUAAGGGUGAAAAGGUGCGGUAAGAGCGCACCGCACGGCUGGCAACAGUCCGUGGCUAGGUAAACCCCACUUGGAGCAAGACCAAAUAGGGAUCCAUUGGCGUGGCCCGCGCUGGAUCCGGGUAGGUUGCUAGAGGCAGUCAGCGAUGGCUGUCGUAGAGGAAUGGCUGUCCUCGACAGAACCCGGCUUA